This 73-nucleotide transfer RNA is filed under the name Stegodyphus mimosarum. It matches the Rfam family "tRNA". Rfam says of the family: Transfer RNA (tRNA) molecules are approximately 80 nucleotides in length. Their secondary structure includes four short double-helical elements and three loops (D, anti-codon, and T loops). The record is from Rfam by way of RNAcentral. Lineage: Eukaryota; Metazoa; Arthropoda; Arachnida; Araneae; Eresidae.
GCCUUUGGGGUGUAGUGGUUAGCACGCGCAGUGUGUAUUCGAGAGGUCCGUGGUUCGAGUCCCGGCGAGGGCA